AGCAACGCUGGCGGCAGGCUUAACACAUGCAAGUCGAACGCCCCGCAAGGGGAGUGGUAGACGGGUGAGUAACACGUGGGAACGUACCCUUUGGUUCGGAAUAACUUGGGGAAACUCAAGCUAAUACCGGAUAAGCCCUUAUGGGGAAAGGUUUACUGCCGAAGGAUCGGCCCGCGUCUGAUUAGCUAGUUGGUGAGGUAACGGCUCACCAAGGCGACGAUCAGUAGCUGGUCUGAGAGGAUGAUCAGCCACACUGGGACUGAGACACGGCCCAGACUCCUACGGGAGGCAGCAGUGGGGAAUAUUGGACAAUGGGGGCAACCCUGAUCCAGCCAUGCCGCGUGAGUGAUGAAGGCCUUAGGGUUGUAAAGCUCUUUUACCCGGGACGAUAAUGACUGUACCGGGAGAAUAAGCCCCGGCUAACUUCGUGCCAGCCGCCGCCGUAA
This 446-nucleotide ribosomal RNA is filed under the name uncultured bacterium. RNAcentral describes it as "partial 16S ribosomal RNA". It matches the Rfam family "Bacterial small subunit ribosomal RNA", at positions 32 to 523 of the family's 1533-position model. The record is from RNAcentral.